Molecule: RNA transcript, 1165 nt
Organism: Neltuma alba
Lineage: Eukaryota; Viridiplantae; Streptophyta; Magnoliopsida; Fabales; Fabaceae
Exons: 4
Source: RefSeq, a predicted model, not a curated record
UCCGGUGGCUUUGGCAUUUAAUGACAUUCAAACAUAUACAGAAACGGAACCAACUUUAAUAGCUCAAACAAGCAAAUAUAUACAGAGGUUUAUUAAGGGAAACAAAUUAUAUAAAUGAAACGAGUGAUGGAAAUUGAUUGUAUCAAUUGUGUUAGGCCUUCAAUUCAGAAUAGGUUGCCUUUAUUAGUUGUUGGUCCUAAGGGAUCUCAAUGUUGACAGGAGACAAAGUAAAGUUGUACAUAAUGAUUUGAAAUGUAAAUUUAGUACUUUCUGAGCACAAGACCCCAGCCUUUGAGCAGGACUUUGAUUUCUAGGAGGAAAAUGGAAAUAGAAAGAACCUGGAUUAACCCAAAAAAAAAGAAAAAGAAAAAUAAUGAUGAGAUAGACAUUAGUGUCUUUCUAUAACUUCCACUGUAAAUUGACAUGGUUCCAUAUGCAGGUUGAACAAGUGGCCCAACGUAGAGUCAACAAGCCCAGGUGGCUCGGGCCUAUUCUGAAACAAACCUUCUUUGAUUCUUGUGCAGCUCAUCCUAUGUACAAGAAUGAACUUAACAAAUACUGUAUGACCUGCAACAAAUCUGCUUGCCAAUAUUGUGUGUCUUUUGGUAUUCAUCGAUGCCACAAAAUGCUUAGCAUUUAUAAACAUGUUUACAAAUAUGUUGUUGCCAUGGCUGCUGUUGAAAAGCAUAUUGACUGUUCACAGAUUCAGUCUUACUUUCCAUAUGAGCGGAAAAACCGGGUCAGUUGGUGACAAUUAGUAAAAGAGAAUCCCAUCAGUCAAUACUCUGAACUGCAUUAUUUUCUGGCAAUAAGUACAACCUAGUUUUUAGCUCUUGAGCGGUGUCAGGCAUACCUACAAAUGCAACAAACGAUUGGUUAUUGCUCUGAAUCCUCUUCCACAUGGCGGUUUGGCAACAGAUACUGGACUAUUAUGUGAGAUCUGUGGUAGGAGGGUGACUCACCCUCAUCUGUAUCGUUACUGCUCCAUUUCAUGCAAGGUUCAAGCUGUUUUAAGGAAGCCCAAUGAAUCACUCCCUCCCUUCAUUACCAUCCAGCGUCCUUCUAAGGGAAAGAAAGAGAAAGCCUCUGAGCCCCAGAAGCCUAUAAACAAAAGAAAGGGAACACCCCGUAGGGCUCCCUUCUUCUAAAAGCCUCAACCCUCAAG